UACGUAGGGGGCUAGCGUUGUCCGGAAUCAUUGGGCGUAAAGAGCGUGUAGGCGGCCCGGUAAGUCCGCUGUAAAAGUCAAAGGCUCAACCUUUGAAUGUCAGUGGAUACUGCCGGGCUAGAGUCCGGAAGAGGCGAGUGGAACUCCUGGUGCAGCGGUGGAAUGCGCAGAUAUCAGGAAGAACACCAACGGCGAAGGCAGCUCGCUGGGACGGUACUGACGCUGAGACGCGAAAGCGUGGGGAGCGAACAGG
Molecule: ribosomal RNA, 253 nt
Filed under: uncultured bacterium
Lineage: Bacteria
Description: partial 16S ribosomal RNA
Rfam family: Bacterial small subunit ribosomal RNA
Source: RNAcentral